Molecule: long non-coding RNA, 466 nt
Filed under: Coffea arabica (coffee)
Lineage: Eukaryota; Viridiplantae; Streptophyta; Magnoliopsida; Gentianales; Rubiaceae
Description: long non-coding RNA (CARA_LNC008374)
Source: RNAcentral
UUAGGAGGGUAAGUGUAUGGCAAAUUUAUGGUGGGGUAGGUGAAAGUUCCUUCGGAUGAAAUGAUGAAGGGUGGAGUAAAAGUGGUUUGGGUCAUGGGCAUGACCAAUGAUUCUGGCCCCGAUUGACUGACGAGUCCAGGCUCGGGUUGAACUCCGCUACUGAUAAGCUCAUCGAUUAAUUUCUUUUGGGCGGCCAUUUCAGAUGCCAUCUCACCAAACUUCGUGAGCAUCUCGGUCAGUUGGACCCCCAAACUUGCAGUCUCAGGUUGGGCUGUAGUAGCAGACUUAUCCGACAAUUCCGGUUGCGAACUCAUGUUUACACGAUUCCUCUGGGAUUGAUUACGGGAUCGCGUUAUGAUGGGGCUUCGACGAGAAGCUAUGUUUAAAUAAUCCCUGAGAAUUUUGAAAGAUUAUCUUUAGAUUGAGCCUUCGCUUGGCUAUUCCAAUAAAAAAAAGAAAAGAAAAA